AUAGGUAGUAUAUACACUAGCACUGGAGCAGUGCAGAGAAGCUUAGCAUGGGCCCUGUGCAAGGAUGACAUACAAAUUCAUCAAGCGUUCCAUAUUUUU
Molecule: small nuclear RNA, 99 nt
Filed under: Octodon degus (degu)
Lineage: Eukaryota; Metazoa; Chordata; Mammalia; Rodentia; Octodontidae
Source: RNAcentral